Molecule: ribosomal RNA, 497 nt
Filed under: uncultured bacterium
Lineage: Bacteria
Description: partial 16S ribosomal RNA
Rfam family: Bacterial small subunit ribosomal RNA
Source: RNAcentral
GAUGAACGCUGGCGGCGUGCCUAAUACAUGCAAGUCGAGCGAACAGACGAGGAGCUUGCUCCUCUGACGUUAGCGGCGGACGGGUGAGUAACACGUGGAUAACCUACCUAUAAGACUGGGAUAACUUCGGGAAACCGGAGCUAAUACCGGAUAAUAUAUUGAACCGCAUGGUUCAAUAGUGAAAGACGGUUUUGCUGUAACUUAUAGAUGGAUCCGCGCCGCAUUAGCUAGUUGGUAAGGUAACGGCUUACCAAGGCAACGAUGCGUAGCCGACCUGAGAGGGGGAUCGGCCACACUGGAACUGAGACACGGUCCAGACUCCUACGGUAGGCAGCAGUAGGGAAUCUUCCGCAAAGGGCGAAAGCCUGACGGAGCAACGCCGCGUGAGUGAUGAAGGUCUUCGGAUCGUAAAACUCUGUUAUUAGUGAAGAACAAAUGUGUAAGUAACUAUGCACGUCUUGACGGUACCUAAUCAGAAAGCCACGGCUAACUACGUG